GAUGAACGCUGGCGGCGUGCCUAAUACAUGCAAGUCGAGCGAACAGACGCGGAGUUUGCUCCGCUGACGUUUGCGGCGGGCGGGUGUGUAACACGUGUAUAACGUACCUAUCAUACGGGGAUAACUGCGGGACUCCGGCGCUAAUACCGUAUAAUAUCUUGAACGGCAGUGUUCAGUAGUGAAAUACGGUGUUGCUUUCGCUUAUAGCUUGAUCCGCGCCGCAUUAGCUAGUUGGUAAGGUAACGGCUUACCAAGGCAACGAUGCGUAGCCGACCUGAGAGGGUGAUCGGCCACACUAGAGCUGAGACACGGUCCAGACUCCUACGGGAGGCAGCAGUAGGGAAUCUUGCGCAAUGGGCGAAAGCUUGACGGAGCAACGCCGCGUGAGUGAUGAAGAUCUUGGGAUCGUAGAACUCUGUUAUUAGGGAAGAACAAAUGUGUAAGUAACUAUGGACGUCUUGACGGUACCUAAUCAGAAAGCCACGGCUAACUACGUG
RNAcentral lists this ribosomal RNA (497 nucleotides) under uncultured bacterium. RNAcentral's name for it is "partial 16S ribosomal RNA". It matches the Rfam family "Bacterial small subunit ribosomal RNA", at positions 28 to 507 of the family's 1533-position model. The record is from RNAcentral.